This 367-nucleotide unclassified non-coding RNA is filed under the name soil metagenome. Its description in RNAcentral is "partial contains 5.8S ribosomal RNA, internal transcribed spacer 2, and large subunit ribosomal RNA". The stretch from base 1 to 122 matches the Rfam family "5.8S ribosomal RNA", at positions 35 to 154 of the family's 154-position model. The record is from RNAcentral.
GAUGAAGAACGCAGCGAAAUGCAAUACUUGGUGUGAAUUGCAGAAUCCCGUGAACCAUCGAGUUUUUGAACGCAAGUUGCGCCCGAAGCCGUUAGGCCGAGGGCACGCCUGCCUGGGUGUCACACAUCGUUGCCCCAAUGCCAAUCGCCUCACUUUGUAGGUAUUUGCUUGGGGUGAAUGUUGGCCUCCCGUGAGCUUUGUCUCACGGUUGGUUGAAAAUCGAGUGCAUGGUGUCGGGUGUACCAUGAUGGAUGGUGGUUGAGUGAUGAUGCUCGGUGACCCACAUGCGUCCCUUGGAUGCUCCCUAAGGAGACCUCAGGUCAGGCGGGGCUACCCACUGAGUUUAAGCAUAUCAAUAAGCGGAGGA